CUGUGACUGGGAAUCCCAUUGUCAUUUACUAUUCUUCACUGUCAUCUCUUAUUCUUUGAUUAUUUCUCCAUAAGAAAUAUUUGAAUGAAUGACAGGAAACAUCAUGAACAUUGCACCUGCAAGAAAUAUUUAACACAUCCCUUUUUGGACAUUUUGUUAUUUUUCUCUAAGCUGCUCCCCUUUUCAUUGUAUUCAGGAAAGAUCAUUAAGCAUUUCAAGAGCAAAAACAUUUCACCUUCAAAACUUUGGUACUUCAGUCAUAAUAUUGUUAUUAUGGGGCUAUAAAUCUAAAAUGGGAUUAAUUUCCUCUUUCCAGUACCUAUCAGCUUCCAUUUGGAAGUACCUUUAGAUUUCUACCCUGGAGGCCCAAUCUCGUGGCAAGAAUUAUUCUUUAUUUUGAGCAAUGCCUCCAAGUCUCUUAGGUCACACACCACAGGAAGACAAUGUCAUGUCAUUGCAUUUUUCUAGGAAGUUGAAAUAUAUCCUCAAAGUGCUUUUACCAAAUGCAUGAAAGUCAUCAAUGUGAAUCCUUCCCAAUAUGUUAUUAUUAUAAUUACAUGCAGUCAAUGCUUUUUGGAUUGUGAAUCAUUUUUAUAAGUAAUAUAGCAUUUGAUCCUCUCAAUAAUUCUGUAGUUAUCCCACUUUGUGGGUUGAGAAAACUGAGGUUCAGGAAAAUGAAUGGACUUUCCUUAUACAACUAAUGAGGGGGUAAUGGCAGAGGAUUUUGGAGGCACUUCAGGCUCCAAGGUUGGGUCUUUGCUUGACUUCUAACAGAGCAUAAUUCUAAGAUGCUUAUCUCGACAGUCACCAGAAUACAGAAGACGGGAAAGUCACCCUGAGAAGUACUGAGCUGGCCUUUGCAUAGCAUUGAUUUCUAGAAUCAUCCUCCUUUUCCUGCUUCCCUCUCUCCCCACUUCCUCUUUCUCCUCUCCUCCUCACCUUCAUCAUCCUCUUUUUCUAGACCAAGUCGAAAUUGAACACCUUAGCUGCUAGUUAAGAAAAAAUUCCUUAGGGUACAGUGCUACAAGGAUAUUAUGGAGGUGAUGGAUCCUCUCAUUCACCCAACUCAUUGUCAUGUGAAUUCCUCCUUCAGGCAGGACCAGGUAUGGGAAGUCUUUCUGAGCAAUGUGUCCCACCUGGGUCAGAGUGUUUGCAAGUUCCCACUGAAGAGACACAGAACGAGUGUUUUAUCAGUGACAGUCAGAAAAGCUGGUUCUGGUUCCUCUAGGUACAGACACAGGGACUUAGAUGUGGUUAAUCAUUCCCAUUCAUAAAACUCCCAGUGCUCUAAAUAAAAAUGUUUAAAUAUUUAAGAACAAGUCUAACCCCCAAAAUAGAUGUGUUAUGAGCUGCCAUAGCAACAUUUCAUAUAAUUAAUCAUAUGAUGGUCCAGAAAGAUGAGUUCUCUCUUCCACCUGUAUCCUUGACCCCCUCCGAUCCCAGGGGUGCCACAGUCAGUGGAGUACAUUGGCAGCCAGGCAGGGAACAGAGGGGUGGAGAACUACUACAUUAAGACAGCUGCAAUGAACCAGAGGGUGGUUUUUUUCAUGUUUUAGAUUGGAUAUUUUGAUUACCUAUCAGCAAGAGCCAUUGGUCUAAACAGAACAUUUUGUCUCUUUCACAUUUUAUAAAUAAAAGCCUUAGCUUUAAAUUCUUUCUGAUUUCACUGUUCCCUUUAAAGUUCACUCAUGUGGAAUCCAGGAUAGGGUGACUAAAAUCAUAAUAUCGCCCCCUCCCUACAAUCUUCUCCUCAAUCUCUAAGCCUGUAUGAUCAUUUUACUGUUUAGAGAAGGUGGUAUUAACCUAACGCAGAGCUUUUCUGGGGGAAAAAAACUUGUCUGCAUUGUCAUUUUCAGUGACAAAGGGAGGAGAAAGCAUGUCAUAAAACACAUUUCUCAAAAAGAACACUUCAGACUCCUGGUGGGAAAGUAGUCUGCAGCAAAACAACACUAUUACCGAAUGAAUUCCUAUGUAAGAGUGUUGGGCUGUAAGUAAACCAAGGGUAGGAGCAAGUCUUAUCUUCUUUUACUCGCCUUCUGUGCUCAUACAGCUCCUUAUCUAUGAAGAAUAUGCAAUAUUUGUGUUUGUUACUUUACUGUUUGUUUUGUUUUGUUUUCCUCCAGAUGACAAUAUGGCUUCCUAUCUCUCUGGAAACUUCUUUGUUAUUUGGAAAAGAAAAAGUCCUUUUACCUUCAGAUAGCUGGCUUGCAAUACACAGCUCCAAGGAGAGGAAAAAAAGAAAUGAAAGUGUAGGACUCCCAUAUUAGGAUCCAUAUAUGGGAGUAGCUGGUUGAAUCCCUUGAUAAUCUUCUUCCUCCUUGGAACCCUAUAGGCUAUUAUAACUGCCUUCUAUUAUGAUUUUGAAUGUACCUAUGUCAAGCUAUGCUACUUUCCUACCCAAUUGAUUACCUGGUCCUUAAGAGGAAUGUGCCUUAUUCAUGUUACACCCUUUAAAACACUUAUAAUACUACCUAGUUCCUAAUAAAUGUUUAAGAAACAUUCAUUGAGUAUCUUAUCCUGGAUUCCCUAAGAGAAAAAAAUAGCCAGUUACAAAAUAUUAUGUGCUAACACUACUGUUUGACCUUAUAGAACUGUCUUUGGAGAGACUUGUCUGCAUAUGAACUAGCACCUCACAGGACUUUUUUCAAUAUUUCUUGUCUCUCAUUGGCCAAAGGUGAAUAGCCCCAAUGCCAUUAAUUUCCCCGCACUUCUAAGCUGCAUGUGCCCAGGCUCUGAGUAUGUCUACAGCACCUCAUACCUGACAGCCACAGAUAAAAAGCAAGUUGACUGGAGCCCUCACAGAACUAGUCACCAUAAUAUCAGCUGAGGAGAAACAGGUAGCCUAGGACCCCAAAAACAGUGAGACCAAGAGAACCAAAGGUAGAGCUGAGGAGGUAUCUGAUACUUUGGCCAAAGUUGCUAGAGUUCUUGGAUGAAGGGCUGGCUGAAAAGCAAAAUUCUAUUAAAUAGUUUCUGAGUUUUACUGGGAUGAAUGUCAUUCGAUCAUACUUGUGCUAUAAUGUUAAGGUACUGCCUUGGAACCUUCUUAUCAGAAAUGUUCUUAAUAUUUACAGCAAUGCCAAGUACACUCCAUAUGAACCAUAUAUGUAUGUAUGAAAUGAAUGUGGUUAAAAAAAUGGCACAAGUGUGACCUUAGUGCUAAGAUCAAGUUUAUCGACUGAACGCCACAGUGGAACCAUACUGUUAAUGAUGCAUUUGUUCAUUCUUCCUCCAGAUUACUCAACUGUGAACAACAGUAAAAUAUCCAUGAGAAUUUGUAUAUAAACACAAAUGAGCAGGGAAGGUCAGCACAUUUGUUCCAUACAGGUAAAUACAACAAGUUAUCAAAUGAGUUUCUACUCUGACCCAGACAGGUACUGAAGACACACAAAUAAGAAGAAACCCUCCUUUCAAGGUACUCACACUUUAGGAGAACAGGUAUACAUCUAUACGGCUGUAUCAGAAUGUUAAGUUUCCACAUUGUGAAUACAAACUCAAUGGAGGAAUGGUUAGGCUUUAAAAAAUAAGGGAAGGUUUCAGUAAGGGGGUGCAUUUAGGUGAGCCUUUAAAGAAUAAACAGAAAUUUACUAGAAGAAAGAAAGGGAAUAACAUUCUAGACAGAAGCAACAGAAAAAGAGAAAGGUUCCUGUUCCAGUAAACAUGAUCUUAACUGAACAAUUUCCUUCUAGGAAACUUAGCUGCAUCAGUGUUAACGUCUUAAGAGUUUCUCUCAUUCUACCCUAGGCCUGAAGUUUGAGUUGGGGUAAAGAAAAAGAUACAACAUAAAGAAGCAUUGGGAUGAAAACCAGAGAAGAUACUAGUAUAGUACUCAGUGCCCAGGGCACACCCAAUGUGAGAAACUCUUCAACUCUCCUCUUCUUGCUCUUGGAUGAUGAAUCCCCUUUCCUUUGUCUAGUUUCCAGAACACCUCUGUUGUCCACAUCAUUUCAGGCUAUUCCUUCUCCUUUCUCUCUAUAUGACCUGGGCUUGUUCACAGCAUGGCAAUACAAGACUUUUGAUUAUAGGCAGCACGGAGACAGAUGAUACUUUCAAUAUACAUCUAUUCUACUAUGAUAUUCUCAUUUAUGUCAAUUUCUACAGUAUCCUUUCUUUGAUUAAAUAGACUUCCAAAAAUGA
Felis catus (domestic cat) is the source of this 4137-nucleotide long non-coding RNA. RefSeq lists it as uncharacterized. The transcript has 3 exons. The record is from RefSeq and is a predicted model, not a curated record. NCBI's taxonomy places the organism in Eukaryota, Metazoa, Chordata, Mammalia, Carnivora, Felidae.